Megalobrama amblycephala (Wuchang bream) is the source of this 128-nucleotide small nucleolar RNA. RefSeq annotates it as small nucleolar RNA SNORA47. The record is from RefSeq and is a predicted model, not a curated record. NCBI's taxonomy places the organism in Eukaryota, Metazoa, Chordata, Actinopteri, Cypriniformes, Xenocyprididae. The transcript has a single exon.
UGGAGGCUUGAGAAAGUUUUGCAGUUGAGUUAGUACUGCCACAACUGGUUUUGUCCUCCAAGACUAAACCCAGAAUGCAGCCUCUCUUGUCUGAAUGUCUCUUUCAGACUGUAAGCUGUGUACAUGGA